RNAcentral lists this transfer RNA (529 nucleotides) under uncultured Alphaproteobacteria bacterium. RNAcentral describes it as "partial 16S-23S ribosomal RNA intergenic spacer". The stretch from base 183 to 257 matches the Rfam family "tRNA". The record is from RNAcentral. Lineage: Bacteria; Pseudomonadati; Pseudomonadota; Alphaproteobacteria.
CCUCCUUUCAAGGACGUGCUUCGUAGGUCUGAUUUAUUUCAUAUCCAUGAAACACAUAAUCCUUAUUUUAGUACCAUAGCGCCAAGAUGGACCGCCGUCUUCGCAUCCCUUUCGAGAGCCAGUCUAUUUUCUGGAUCAUUAUGUUGAUAUCCGGGCUUUUAUUAUUCAGGACCGGUUGAUCCGGGCCUGUAGCUCAGCUUGGUUAGAGCGCACGCCUGAUAAGCGUGAGGUCGGUAGUUCGAGUCUACCCAGGCCCACCAUUUACUUGGGGGCGUAGCUCAGCUGGGAGAGCACCUGCUUUGCAAGCAGGAGGUCAUCGGUUCGAACCCGUUCGCCUCCACCAAUUCAUUUAAUGGGCGUAUUUUGGCCAAGACUUGGCUCUGAAAGUUAAGGUUUCCCGCAGGUUUCCUCUAAAUUGAGAAAAUUCCGGGUUUUCUGCUCUUUUAUAUUGUGAAUAGGUCUGAUGAUUAAUCGUAAUUCUCUUUGGAAAUUAUGAUUAUACUGUCAUUUUGACAUGAGUACUGACAGG